Molecule: ribosomal RNA, 468 nt
Filed under: uncultured bacterium
Lineage: Bacteria
Description: partial 16S ribosomal RNA
Rfam family: Bacterial small subunit ribosomal RNA
Source: RNAcentral
GACGAACGCUGGCGGCGUGCUUAAUACAUGCAAGUCGAACGGAAAGGCCCUGCGUUUGUUGGGUUCUCGAUUGGCGAACGGGUGAGUAACACGUGAGUAACCUGUCCUUGUCUUUGUGGUAACUUUAGGAAACUGGGGAUAAUACCGGAUAGGAGCUCCUGCUGCAUGGGGGGGGUUGGAAAGUUUCGGCUGUUGGGGAUGGACUCGCGGCUUAUCAGCUGGUUGGUGGGGUAGUGGCUUACCACGGCUUUGACGGGUAGGCGGCGUGAGAGGGUGGCCGGCCACCUUGGGCCUACGAUACGGACCAGACUCCUACGGGCGGCAGCAGUCGGAAGUCUUGCACAAUGGGCCCACGCCUGAUACAGCAACGUCGCGUGCGGGAUGCCGGCCUUCUGGUUGUAAACCGCUUUCGCCUGUGCCGAAGCGUUCGUGACGGUAAUGGGUAAAGAAGCACCGGCUAACUACGUG